Molecule: ribosomal RNA, 596 nt
Filed under: Naganishia albidosimilis
Lineage: Eukaryota; Fungi; Basidiomycota; Tremellomycetes; Filobasidiales; Filobasidiaceae
Description: eukaryotic LSU rRNA
Rfam family: Eukaryotic large subunit ribosomal RNA
Source: RNAcentral
UGCAUAUCAAAAAGCGGAGGAAAAGAAACUAACAAGGAUUCCCCUAGUAACGGCGAGUGAAGCGGGAAGAGCUCAAAUUUGAAAUCUGGUAGCCUUCGGUUGCCCGAGUUGUAAUCUAGAGAAGUGUUUUCCGUGCCGGCCCAUGUACAAGUCCCUUGGAACAGGGCGUCAUAGAGGGUGAGAAUCCCGUCCUUGACAUGGACCCCCGGUGCUCUGUGAUACACUUUCAACGAGUCGAGUUGUUUGGGAAUGCAGCUCAAAAUGGGUGGUGAAUUCCAUCUAAAGCUAAAUAUUGGCGAGAGACCGAUAGCGAACAAGUACCGUGAGGGAAAGAUGAAAAGCACUUUGGAAAGAGAGUUAAACAGUACGUGAAAUUGUUGAAAGGGAAACGAUUGAAGUCAGUCAUGCUCUUUGGUAUUUAUAUCAUUGAGUGGGGUCAACAUCAGUUUUGAUCGAUGGAUAAAGGCACUAGGAAGGUAGCACUCUCGGGUGAACUUAUAGCCUAGCGUCAUAUACAUUGAUUGGGACUGAGGAACGCAGCAUGCCUUUAUGGCCGGGAUUCGUCCACGUACAUGCUAGGAGUGACUAUCAACGUG